RNAcentral lists this ribosomal RNA (445 nucleotides) under uncultured bacterium. Its description in RNAcentral is "bacterial SSU rRNA". It matches the Rfam family "Bacterial small subunit ribosomal RNA", at positions 331 to 793 of the family's 1533-position model. The record is from RNAcentral.
CCAGACUCCUACGGGAGGCAGCAGUGGGGGAUAUUGCACAAUGGGGGAAACCCUGAUGCAGCGACGCCGCGUGGGUGAAGAAGCGCCUCGGCGCGUAAAGCCCUGUCAGCAGGGAAGAAAAUGACGGUACCUGAAGAAGAAGCCCCGGCUAACUACGUGCCAGCAGCCGCGGUAAUACGUAGGGGGCGAGCGUUGUCCGGAAUGACUGGGCGUAAAGGGAGUGUAGGCGGCUCUUUAAGUUAUAUGUGAAAUCCCGCGGCUUAACCGUGGAAGUGCAUAUAAAACUGGGGAGCUGGAGUGCAGGAGAGGUGAGUGGAAUUCCUAGUGUAGCGGUGGAAUGCGUAGAUAUUAGGAAGAACACCGGUGGCGAAGGCGGCUCACUGGACUGUAACUGACGCUGAGGCUCGAAAGCGUGGGGAGCAAACAGGAUUAGAUACCCUCGUAC